CUUGUUUUUAUCCAUUGUAUUGUGCUUUUGAGUGUGUUGGGAUGUUUUUAAUGCCUGAGUGUGGUUUUUAAAUUUUGUUUUACAGCCGUGACAAAAGAUGAAUUUCUGUGGACUUAAACUUUUGCCCA
Long non-coding RNA from Sphaeramia orbicularis (orbiculate cardinalfish), 128 nucleotides. RefSeq lists it as uncharacterized. The record is from RefSeq and is a predicted model, not a curated record. The transcript is spliced from 3 exons. NCBI's taxonomy places the organism in Eukaryota, Metazoa, Chordata, Actinopteri, Kurtiformes, Apogonidae.